RNAcentral lists this transfer RNA (85 nucleotides) under Felis catus (domestic cat). It matches the Rfam family "tRNA". Rfam says of the family: Transfer RNA (tRNA) molecules are approximately 80 nucleotides in length. Their secondary structure includes four short double-helical elements and three loops (D, anti-codon, and T loops). Lineage: Eukaryota; Metazoa; Chordata; Mammalia; Carnivora; Felidae. The record is from Rfam by way of RNAcentral.
GCCUGGGUGGCUCAGUUGGUUGAGCACCUGACUUCAGCUCAGGUCAUGAUCCCACAGUUCGUGAGUUUGAGCCCUGCGUCAGGCU